This 2205-nucleotide ribosomal RNA is filed under the name Escherichia coli. Its description in RNAcentral is "partial 23S ribosomal RNA". It matches the Rfam family "Bacterial large subunit ribosomal RNA", at positions 760 to 2925 of the family's 2925-position model. The record is from RNAcentral. RNAcentral also lists the same sequence under 2 other names. Lineage: Bacteria; Pseudomonadati; Pseudomonadota; Gammaproteobacteria; Enterobacterales; Enterobacteriaceae.
CACUAACUGGAGGACCGAACCGACUAAUGUUGAAAAAUUAGCGGAUGACUUGUGGCUGGGGGUGAAAGGCCAAUCAAACCGGGAGAUAGCUGGUUCUCCCCGAAAGCUAUUUAGGUAGCGCCUCGUGAAUUCAUCUCCGGGGGUAGAGCACUGUUUCGGCAAGGGGGUCAUCCCGACUUACCAACCCGAUGCAAACUGCGAAUACCGGAGAAUGUUAUCACGGGAGACACACGGCGGGUGCUAACGUCCGUCGUGAAGAGGGAAACAACCCAGACCGCCAGCUAAGGUCCCAAAGUCAUGGUUAAGUGGGAAACGAUGUGGGAAGGCCCAGACAGCCAGGAUGUUGGCUUAGAAGCAGCCAUCAUUUAAAGAAAGCGUAAUAGCUCACUGGUCGAGUCGGCCUGCGCGGAAGAUGUAACGGGGCUAAACCAUGCACCGAAGCUGCGGCAGCGACACUAUGUGUUGUUGGGUAGGGGAGCGUUCUGUAAGCCUGUGAAGGUGUACUGUGAGGUAUGCUGGAGGUAUCAGAAGUGCGAAUGCUGACAUAAGUAACGAUAAAGCGGGUGAAAAGCCCGCUCGCCGGAAGACCAAGGGUUCCUGUCCAACGUUAAUCGGGGCAGGGUGAGUCGACCCCUAAGGCGAGGCCGAAAGGCGUAGUCGAUGGGAAACAGGUUAAUAUUCCUGUACUUGGUGUUACUGCGAAGGGGGGACGGAGAAGGCUAUGUUGGCCGGGCGACGGUUGUCCCGGUUUAAGCGUGUAGGCUGGUUUUCCAGGCAAAUCCGGAAAACUAAGGCUGAGGCGUGAUGACGAGGCACUACGGUGCUGAAGCAACAAAUGCCCUGCUUCCAGGAAAAGCCUCUAAGCAUCAGGUAACAUCAAAUCGUACCCCAAACCGACACAGGUGGUCAGGUAGAGAAUACCAAGGCGCUUGAGAGAACUCGGGUGAAGGAACUAGGCAAAAUGGUGCCGUAACUUCGGGAGAAGGCACGCUGAUAUGUAGGUGAAGUCCCUCGCGGAUGGAGCUGAAAUCAGUCGAAGAUACCAGCUGGCUGCAACUGUUUAUUAAAAACACAGCACUGUGCAAACACGAAAGUGGACGUAUACGGUGUGACGCCUGCCCGGUGCCGGAAGGUUAAUUGAUGGGGUCAGCGCAAGCGAAGCUCUUGAUCGAAGCCCCGGUAAACGGCGGCCGUAACUAUAACGGUCCUAAGGUAGCGAAAUUCCUUGUCGGGUAAGUUCCGACCUGCACGAAUGGCGUAAUGAUGGCCAGGCUGUCUCCACCCGAGACUCAGUGAAAUUGAACUCGCUGUGAAGAUGCAGUGUACCCGCGGCAAGACGGAAAGACCCCGUGAACCUUUACUAUAGCUUGACACUGAACAUUGAGCCUUGAUGUGUAGGAUAGGUGGGAGGCUUUGAAGUGUGGACGCCAGUCUGCAUGGAGCCGACCUUGAAAUACCACCCUUUAAUGUUUGAUGUUCUAACGUUGACCCGUAAUCCGGGUUGCGGACAGUGUCUGGUGGGUAGUUUGACUGGGGCGGUCUCCUCCUAAAGAGUAACGGAGGAGCACGAAGGUUGGCUAAUCCUGGUCGGACAUCAGGAGGUUAGUGCAAUGGCAUAAGCCAGCUUGACUGCGAGCGUGACGGCGCGAGCAGGUGCGAAAGCAGGUCAUAGUGAUCCGGUGGUUCUGAAUGGAAGGGCCAUCGCUCAACGGAUAAAAGGUACUCCGGGGAUAACAGGCUGAUACCGCCCAAGAGUUCAUAUCGACGGCGGUGUUUGGCACCUCGAUGUCGGCUCAUCACAUCCUGGGGCUGAAGUAGGUCCCAAGGGUAUGGCUGUUCGCCAUUUAAAGUGGUACGCGAGCUGGGUUUAGAACGUCGUGAGACAGUUCGGUCCCUAUCUGCCGUGGGCGCUGGAGAACUGAGGGGGGCUGCUCCUAGUACGAGAGGACCGGAGUGGACGCAUCACUGGUGUUCGGGUUGUCAUGCCAAUGGCACUGCCCGGUAGCUAAAUGCGGAAGAGAUAAGUGCUGAAAGCAUCUAAGCACGAAACUUGCCCCGAGAUGAGUUCUCCCUGACUCCUUGAGAGUCCUGAAGGAACGUUGAAGACGACGACGUUGAUAGGCCGGGUGUGUAAGCGCAGCGAUGCGUUGAGCUAACCGGUACUAAUGAACCGUGAGGCUUAACCUUACAACGCCGAAGGUGUUU